UAACGCAUAUAACUCCGAGUUUACUUAACCUACGUUUUGGUCUCAAAAUAGGGUGGUAAUGCCAAUAAUACGCAGUUCGUAUUAUUCAGGGAUACGUUGGAAACGAUUUAUCCUCUCCGUUUUUAGAAAGGUGUCAAAUGCAAACCAUU
RNAcentral lists this non-coding RNA (149 nucleotides) under Aggregatibacter actinomycetemcomitans. Its description in RNAcentral is "MoCo sequence". It matches the Rfam family "Molybdenum/Tungsten riboswitch aptamer (Moco RNA motif)". The record is from RNAcentral. Lineage: Bacteria; Pseudomonadati; Pseudomonadota; Gammaproteobacteria; Pasteurellales; Pasteurellaceae.